This 163-nucleotide unclassified non-coding RNA is filed under the name uncultured Eurotiales. RNAcentral describes it as "sequence contains ITS2". The record is from RNAcentral. Lineage: Eukaryota; Fungi; Ascomycota; Eurotiomycetes; Eurotiales.
CUGCCUCUCAAGCGCGGCUUGUGUGUUGGGUGUUAUCCACCUCUUUUUGUGGGGGAUAUAUCCAAAAGGCAGCGGCGGUGUCGCGUCCGGUCCUCGAGCGUAUGGGGCUUUGUCACUCGCUCUGGAGGCUUGGCCGGUGCCUGCCACUUCACCAAUUUUUCUA